This 253-nucleotide ribosomal RNA is filed under the name uncultured bacterium. RNAcentral describes it as "partial 16S ribosomal RNA". It matches the Rfam family "Bacterial small subunit ribosomal RNA", at positions 524 to 776 of the family's 1533-position model. The record is from RNAcentral.
UACGUAGGCUGCGAGCGUUGUUCGGAAUUACUGGGCGUAAAGAGCGUGUAGGCGGUCCGGUAAGUCCGCUGUGAAAGUCGGGGGCUCAACCCUCGAAUGCCGGUGGAUACUGUCGGGCUAGAGUGCGGAAGAGGCGAGUGGAAUUCCUGGUGUAGCGGUGAAAUGCGCAGAUAUCAGGAGGAACACCUAUUGCGAAGGCAGCUCGCUGGGACGUAACUGACGCUGAGACGCGAAAGCGUGGGGAGCAAACAGG